Sus scrofa (pig) is the source of this 6868-nucleotide RNA transcript. It is a transcript of the gene named mucolipin TRP cation channel 2, with no coding region annotated. The record is from RefSeq and is a predicted model, not a curated record. Lineage: Eukaryota; Metazoa; Chordata; Mammalia; Artiodactyla; Suidae.
UUUCCACAUAAACUUCACUGUUAGUAUUGUUCUUGUCUGCUUAUCCCAGGAAAUUGUUGCAUUUUUACUAUUAGCUUGUCUUUUAUUUUCAUAAAAUAAAUUCCCUUUAACAUGGUAAAUCAGUGAACAUUUUUUUUAUUUGGCCAUGCCGGCGGCAUGUAGAAUUUCCUGGGCCAGAGAUCGAACCUGUGCCACAGCAGCAACCUCUGCUGCUGCAGUGACAAUGCCAGAUCCUUAACCUCUUGUGCCACAAGGGAACUCAAAGUCAGUGAAACUUUUAAAUGAAGGCAACCUGCUAGAGAAAUUCAAGAAAAAGGCUUGUAAAUUUAAACUUCCAUAUCUUAGUACAUUAGUAAGGAAAUAUUCUUCUAUUUGGUUAAUGGUCAUCACAAAUUUGAAUCGGGGUACAAAACUUUUGUGCUAUCAUAUGCAGAACAGAACAUAGACAUUUAAAAAAAAAAAAAACAAAGCAUAGCACAAAACAAUGAAUGUUACCACCCGGUGAGAAGUGAACUAGGAUCUUUACCAUAAACAAAUGACUUUUUGAAAGCGAAAAACCUAAUGCCUAUUAUGAAUUAAUUUACUAAUUUAGAAUGGUUAUAUUUAGUGCCUAGAAACUAUAAUUCAUAUUUUAGUGUGUGUGAUAUGCACAACUGCCAACUGUCUGAUCCCAACUACCCUCCAUUCUCAUACUCCUCCCCUUUUCCACCUCCCCAGUUCCCUCAAACACUUGGGUUAAAUAUUUCCCAGAACCUUGCCACUUAAAGAGUGGCGAAUGGACCAACAGUAUUAGCAACACCUUCUAGUUAAAAAUUCAAACCCUCUGGAGUUUGCUUCAUGGCUCAGCGGUUACGAACCUGAUUAGCGUCCAUGAGGAUGAGGGUUUGAUCCCUGGCCUUGCUCGGUGGGUUAAGGAUCUGGUGCUGCCAUGAGCUGUGGUAUAGGUCACAGAUGCGGCUCAGAUCCUGCAUUGCUGUGGUGUAGGCCGGCAGCUGCAGCUCCGAUUCGACCCCUAGCCUGGGAAUGUCCAUAUGCCGAAUGUGCGGCCCUAAAAAGACCAAAAAAAAAAAAAAACGCAAUUAUUCAGGUCCUAUUCCAAAUCUACUAAAUCAGAGUCUACUUCCAUAAGAUCCCCUGGAGUUCUAUUUGCAUGUUAAAAUUUGAGAUACUUGGAGCUGCCAUUUGCAACUAUUUCUCCCUCUGCAGUGUUUUCUAAGAACUUAAUCACUGUUAACUUUUUAAAAUAAUUUUAUGCCUUUCAAUUAUGCACACAUCACCAGCGACAGCUAUUUACAUAUCUCUUCCACCUUGUGAAACUGUUUAUAGAUUGUUACUGAAGUGAAACUGUUAACAGAAACUUCUCCAAGUUGGUCAUGUCUUAGUGGUGUAGCAGUGUGGGGAGAAUAAAGGUUUAGGACUAAGUAGAAAUCUUGGACCUACUACAUAUUUCCGUGCGUGACCUCAGAGAAGUAACUUAAACCUCUAUGAAAUCAUUUCAAUUAGGGAGAUGAUGGUACACAGAGUGCAGAGCAUUUGGUAAGAUAACAUGUAAAUCAACUUUGGCACCUAGUAGGGCUCAGGAUUACUUCUGGCCCCUUUGAAGCACAGGGCCAUUGUACUUGAAGAUGCUCUUAAUAAAUGCAAAGUUAAUAAUGGAUUUUCCUUUUAACUACCCACUGGUAAGUUAUAAUAGAAUUGCCCUGGCUUAAGAAAAUACUUAUAAUGAGAAGUCUGCUGAUACCAAAAAAAUAUAUACCAGUUUACUAUCCCCUUCUAAAGGGACUGUGGUCCCUAGUGGAGUCCUAGCAUUUUGAAGUUAAAGGUUAUCUCUUCAUGGUGCCUUUUCUUUGAAUGAAAAGGCUUACAAUUCUUUAGCAUAAAAAUUAUAUUUACACAUACUAUAUGUAUAACUAGUAUCUAUAUGUAUGUAUUCAUCAUAUUUAUAAAUAUAAUAUUUCUUAUACUUCUUCCAACACUCUCCAAUCAAGCCACAGUUACCGCUUUCAUUAAAGUCCACAUCCUUCCCCCCAAGAACAGUGCUGUAACAUUUCCUCCCCAUUUCUUCUAAAAAGCAACUACACUGCUGUUGCACCUACCUGCAAGGAUGGUGACUACACAAACCUGAUCUCCCAAGCCUGAAUGUACCCAGUGGGCACAUCUGACGAAACUGCCUCUAAAAUAAGGCAUUUUUGCAUAAUAGCCUACUGGAAAUGACUUUACGGAGUGUAAAAUAAAAAAGUGUUGCCUGUCAUUUCAGUUCUACAAGGAUCAAGCUAUUAGCCACUGCAAUUGCCCAUGGAUGGUUCACUCCUUGGGGAAUUCAGGAUGGAGAAAAACAGAAGGCAUUCUGAACCAUCUUCAGGAAGGCAUAUAUCUGCAUGAAGGCACACACACAGUUCAGAUACACAUCUAAGGAAAAAUUUUCAUUGACCCCAGAUUCUUCCCAUUCAUAGAAAAACACUAAAAUCAUUAACUUGAGAUGCCUGUUCUUUGCCAUUAGUAGUAAUUUUUGGAUGUUCCAGCACAUGUUUUCUUUCUCAACCAAAAAUUCAUAUAUGAAUGUAUGAAUUACCUCUGCAUCAGUUCCUCAGAGCUAUCUAACAGAGUAUAGUCUUCAGUAAGUUCCUCAAAUAAAACUUAACUUGCAACUUUAAAAUCAUGUUUUUUUCACCGGACAGGGGUCAGUUGUGCACGAUUUUAUCUAUGUAAUGUACUGUUACACGCUGUCCAACUGCUUCUACCUGGCAAUGCAUAUUCAAAUAAUUACCUGGGAGAAUAUCUUUGCCCUAGUUAAACUCAGAGAACUCUUAGACACUUGCCUAUUCAGACAACCUGAAACUCCUGCAGCCAGUAGAAAGAGGGCUCCCUGGAAAAGAGACUAUUGGCCGCUGUGAGCUGACAAAUCAACAUCAGCUUCAGCUGGACUUGGCAUUUGGGUGUGACUGCGACCCUCACCUCUAAGAUUCAUGUCCGGUUUCCCACAGGCUUCUUCCUUUCGCUCUCCGGAAGGAAGAGCAGCUGUGGCUUACAGAGUCUCCCUGCUCGGCUCGGGUCCUGCAGAUUUGCGCCACUCCUCUGUGCCCGCGCGGGCCACGUGGACAUUUCCAGAGAAAGGCGAUUAUUCCAUUUGCUUCCCCUUGCGUGCCUGUAGCACUUUUAACAUCUCCAAAACCUGACCCGUGUCACCUAGCUUUGUUGUCCUGCACUUCAGAAUAAAUACACAUCAAAAGGAAUGAACUUGCCCCAAUGAACUUGUUAAUUUAAUGUGAAGUCCUGGAGGGAAAGGACCGUGUCUUUCUUAACCCCGCGUGUACAGUACUCAGCCCUGGGCUUUACAUUUAUCAAAUACAAAUAACUUUUUAAAUGGUCAAAGGGAUGAAUGUAGAAAAGCAGAAAAGAAUGCAGAAAUUAAGGAAGGAAUGAAACAAGUCCGGAGCCCCAGAGGGCAGGGAGUGCCUGGCCCCGCCGCCCGGGGGCGGUGCGGAGGGCGCGCCAGCAGCCCAGCGUUCCUCCACGCGGGCGCCUUUAGAAGGCGCUUCUCCCGAGCACUACCGCCCCGCCGUCACCCAGCAAACUUAACCCCGCCGCUCUGGGCAGCACCAUGACUCGCGGCAGGGAGGUGCUGGACCUACCAGUGUGGAGCAGAACCUCAGGUCCGUCCCACGGUCCCCACUGCAGAGAUGCAAUGGCUCAUCUUGAUUCAGAGGUGAAGGAAGAGCGUCUGCGGGAAGACCUCAAGUUUUACUUCAUGAACCCUUGUGAGAAAUUCCGAGCCCGACAACAGAUUCCGUGGAAACUGGGUUUGCAGAUUUUGAAGAUAGUCAUGGUCACCUCACAGCUUGUUCGUUUUGGUUUAAGUAACCAGCUGGUGGUUGCUUUCAAAGAAGAAAACAUUGUUGCUUUUAAACAUUUGUUUUUGAGAGGCUAUUCCGGCACAGAUGAAGAUGACUAUAGUUGCAGUGUAUUUACUCAAGAGGACACCUACGAGAGCAUCUUUUUUGCUAUUAAUCAGUAUCAUCGUCUAGGGAACUUAUCUCUGGGGACUCUUGGUUAUGGAGAAAAAGAAGACAGCAGAAUUGGCUUAAAAGUCUGCAAGCAACAUUACAAGAAAGGGACCAUGUUUCCUUCUAAUGAGACACUGAAUAUUGACAGCGACGUUGAAAUAGAUUGCAUCCACCUAGGCCUCCAGGCACUCUCCAACAACCCUCAGGACUGGAAAAACUCAUCAUUCUUCAAACUAGAAUUUUAUCGGCUCUUACAGAUUGAAAUCUCCUUUCAACUCAAAGGCAUCGACCUACAGACAAUUUAUUCCCGGGAGUUACCAGACUGCUACGUCUUUCAGAAUAUGAUUACCUUUGACAACAAAGCUCACAGUGGCAAAAUCAAAAUCUAUUUUAACAGUGACGCUAACAUUGAAGAAUGUAAAGACUUGAAUAUAUCUGGAUCUAUUCAGAGAAAUAUUCAGUAUGUCCUGGUGUUUGAUGCAUUUGUCAUUGUGAUUUGCUUGGCAUCGCUCAUUCUGUGCACAAGAUCCAUUGUUCUUGCUCUAAGGUUACGAAAGAGAUUCCUAAAUUUCUUCCUGGAGAAGUACAAGCGACACGUGUGUAACACUGACCAGUGGGAGUUCGUCAAUGGAUGGUACGUCCUGGUGAUUAUCAGCGACCUGAUGACUAUAGUUGGAUCCAUAUUAAAAAUGGAAAUUAAAGUCAAGAAUCUCACAAAUUAUGAUCUGUGCAGCAUUUUGCUUGGAACGUCCACGCUCCUUGUCUGGGUUGGCGUCAUCCGAUACUUGGGUUACUUCCAAGCAUAUAACGUGCUGAUUUUAACCAUGCAAGCCUCGCUGCCGAAAGUUCUUCGCUUCUGCGCAUGUGCUGGGAUGAUCUAUCUGGGUUACACCUUCUGCGGCUGGAUUGUCUUAGGACCCUAUCACAACAAGUUCGAAAAGCUGAACACAGUUGCUGAGUGUCUGUUCUCCCUGGUCAACGGUGAUGACAUGUAUGCAACCUUUGCCCACAUCCAGCAGAAGAGCCUCUUGGUGUGGCUGUUCAGUCGCCUGUAUUUAUACUCCUUCAUCAGCCUCUUUAUAUAUAUGAUUCUCAGUCUUUUCAUUGCACUUAUUACAGACUCUUAUGACACCAUUAAGGCGCCCUCCCACCCCCACUCCCCACCCCACCAUGGCUUGCUUUCUGGCGUUUUCCUCUGGAUGGCUCUCUGUUUCCAUGGUGGCCCUGGCUUGACCUUCAAGGGACUGACAAAUUGAUUGAUCAUUGUUAAUAUCAGUUCUUGGAUCUGAGCUCGCUACGUGGGGGCAUUUUCUUUUAUCGGAGGUGGGUUUGGUUUGUUGACAAAGGGAGCGAUUUCUCAGCUGCAUGCAUAAGGUAACAACACCAUGUACUUUUUCAAGAAAUACCAAAAGAAUGGGUUUCCUGCCACGGAUCUUCAGGAAUUCCUGAAGGAGUGUAGUAGCAAAGAGAAGUGUCAGCAAGAGUCAUCGGCAUUCCUGCCCCGCAUCUGCUGUCUGAGGAGGAAUGGAAGUGAUGACCACUUGAUACUUGUUAACUAAAAUUCUUCUGCUGAAGAUAAUCAAGCUUCAGGUCUCCUCACGUUGACUGAAAAUGCAGAGGGACCCCGAUUUGUGUGGACCAGCACUUCCAAAAAUACUGAUCGUGGAGUGGGAAAGAGGACUGUCAGCUGGCUGAAUAGACCUAAAGUUCCAAAGUUCCUUUUUAUAAAUUUGGAUGAUGAAGAAUAGACCACACUUAACUACUCAUAGAGCAGUGACAAUGAAAUUUUGUCCUAGUCUUAUAAUUUAUGACAUCACAAUAUUGGGAUGAAAAAAAAAAUCACAUUUCAGAGUGUGCGAAACAACGGCAUUUAAAAAUGUGAGUUUAGGAGUUCCCUAUGUUGGCUCAGCAGUAAUGAACCCGACUACUGUCCAUGAGGAUGUGGGUUUGAUUCCUGGCCCUGUUCGGUGGGUUAAGGAUUUGGUGUUGCCAUGAGCUGUGGUGUAGGUUGCAGAUGCGGCUCAGAUCUGGAGUUGCUCUGGCUGUGGUGUAGGCCAACAUCCGCAGCUCCAAUUCAACCACUAGCCUGGGAACUUCCAUAUGCCAAGGGUGUGGCCCUAAAAAGACAAAAUCAAACAAACAAAAAAACAAAAAAAAUAAAUAAAGACAUGAGUUUUGGAGUUCCCACUGUGGCACAGUGAAUUAAGAAUCCAACUGCAGCAGCUCAGGUCACUACAGAGGUGAGGAAUCCCCAGCCUGGCAUGAUAGGUUAAAGAUGCAGCUGUAGUGCCAGUUUCAGGUGCAGCUCAAAUUCAAUCCCUGGCUUGAGAACUUGCACAUGCCAAGUGUGCUGCCAUUAAAAAAAAAAAAAAAAAAAAAAAAAAAAAAAAAAAAAAAAAAAGAUGUGGGUUUAUCACCAAAUAAGGGUUUGUCUUAAAAGUGAUUCUUAAAAAAAAAAAAAAGUGAUUCUUGGGUUAAAAGGCAUGUGUGGAUUCACGGUCUACACAAAAAUGAAAUUGGUUGCAAUACCAAUUUAGAUACUCAAAGCUGAAGAACUAUUAAGCCACUUAAAGAUUACACUUAAAUCAAUAAAGGACCUCUUCCAAUGAACAUUUCUUGGCCUGUUUUCCUGUGUUCUUCUUCACGAUAUGAAAACAUGUUGGCAAAGUCAGUGGAAACAGAGUCAUUUGGACACCUUAUCACUUAUGCUAAUUGUUGACUGUACACACAUGACAUGAGGACGUUACACUGCAGUAGUGGUCAUUCAUUUUAACAUUUAAGUCCUCUGUGGUGGGGAUUUACCCUUGUCAAGCAAGGAAAGAUGGUAUUUUUUUCCCAAAUAAAUCAAAUGUAUUUUAUCAUAA